GAAGAAUUCAGAGAUGGAUUUGUGCCUUCGGGAACCGUGAGACAGGUGCUGCAUGGCUGUCGUCAGCUCGUGUUGUGAAAUGUUGGGUUAAGUCCCGCAACGAGCGCAACCCUUAUCCUUUGUUGCCAGCGGUCCGGCCGGGAACUCAAAGGAGACUGCCAGUGAUAAACUGGAGGAAGGUGGGGAUGACGUCAAGUCAUCAUGGCCCUUACGACCAGGGCUACACACGUGCUACAAUGGCGCAUACAAAGAGAAGCGACCUCGCGAGAGCAAGCGGACCUCAUAAAGUGCGUCGUAGUCCGGAUUGGAGUCUGCAACUCGACUCCAUGAAGUCGGAAUCGCUAGUAAUCGUGGAUCAGAAUGCCACGGUGAAUACGUUCCCGGGCCUUGUACACACCGCCCGUCACACCAUGGGAGUGGGUUGCAAAAGAAGUAGGUAGCUUAACCUUCGGGAGGGCGCUUACCACUUUGUGAUUCAUGACUGGGGUGAAGUCGUAACAAGGUAACCGUAGGGGAACCUGC
This 522-nucleotide ribosomal RNA is filed under the name Salmonella enterica subsp. enterica serovar Senftenberg. RNAcentral describes it as "bacterial SSU rRNA". It matches the Rfam family "Bacterial small subunit ribosomal RNA", at positions 993 to 1515 of the family's 1533-position model. The record is from RNAcentral. Lineage: Bacteria; Pseudomonadati; Pseudomonadota; Gammaproteobacteria; Enterobacterales; Enterobacteriaceae. RNAcentral also lists the same sequence under 11 other names.